CACGUAGGGGGCAAGCGUUGUCCGGAAUCAUUGGGCGUAAAGAGCUCGUAGGCGGCUCAGUAAGUCGGGUGUGAAACCUCCAGGCUCAACCUGGAGACGCCACCCGAUACUGCUGUGGCUAGAGUCCAGUAGGGGAGCGUGGAAUUCCCGGUGUAGCGGUGAAAUGCGCAGAUAUCGGGAGGAACACCAGCGGCGAAGGCGGCACUCUGGGCUGGUACUGACGCUGAGGAGCGAAAGCGUGGGUAGCAAACAGG
This 254-nucleotide ribosomal RNA is filed under the name uncultured bacterium. RNAcentral describes it as "partial 16S ribosomal RNA". It matches the Rfam family "Bacterial small subunit ribosomal RNA", at positions 524 to 776 of the family's 1533-position model. The record is from RNAcentral.